AACGAACGCUGGCGGCGUGCCUAACACAUGCAAGUCGAACGAGACCUUCGGGUCUAGUGGCGCACGGGUGCGUAACGCGUGGGAACCUGCCCUUAGGUUCGGAAUAACUCCCCGAAAGGGGUGCUAAUACCGGAUAAUGUCUUCGGACCAAAGAUUUAUCGCCUUUGGAUGGGCCCGCGUUGGAUUAGCUAGUUGGCAGGGUAAAAGCCUACCAAGGCGACGAUCCAUAGCUGGUCUGAGAGGAUGAUCAGCCACACUGGGACUGAGACACGGCCCAGACUCCUACGGGAGGCAGCAGUGGGGAAUAUUGGACAAUGGGCGAAAGCCUGAUCCAGCAAUGCCGCGUGAGUGAUGAAGGCCUUAGGGUUGUAAAGCUCUUUUACCCGGGAUGAUAAUGACAGUACCGGGAGAAUAAGCUCCGGCUAACUCCGUG
Molecule: ribosomal RNA, 433 nt
Filed under: uncultured bacterium
Lineage: Bacteria
Description: partial 16S ribosomal RNA
Rfam family: Bacterial small subunit ribosomal RNA
Source: RNAcentral